Molecule: long non-coding RNA, 597 nt
Organism: Mizuhopecten yessoensis (Yesso scallop)
Lineage: Eukaryota; Metazoa; Mollusca; Bivalvia; Pectinida; Pectinidae
Exons: 2
Source: RefSeq, a predicted model, not a curated record
UAGGUGUAGUUUUUUUCUUUCAGGUAUUUAGUGCUUUCCAUAUGGUAUGCUUAUUGACUGUGACCCGAGACUCGAGUCUAGCUAAUUCACGAACUGACUGCCCCAAGUCUCGCGUGGUGUAUAGGACAUAGAUAAGUAAUGGUUUUAUGUGUGCGGUUGAGAUGUCGGCUAGUCUUCAUGCGGGAUAAGAUGGCUGGGGAAUGGCGCGACGGCGGGCAGACGAUAUCCGAUACACAUCAUAACAGAGAUAAGCGUGACCUUGCGGCCGCAACAAAGGCCACCAGACGGACACCUUUUGGCUGUGACGUCACAAAUUCACUGGCUGUAGAUGGAAACAUGGAAAGAACAAGCGAGAGCGAGAACAGCCAUUUAGCGUCAGAUUGCGACUGAGUUUUGAGAAAUCAGAUUAUGCUGAAAAUGGCUUUAUAUGUAGAUUUCAUCCAGAAACAUCAAAUUUGCAAGAACUUUCAGACAGUGGGUUGAAUGGAAACCAAACUGACGACUCUAAAUAGGGCAACAGACUGGAAGCAUUGCUGGUCCAGUUUCUGAGCACUAAUGAGAAAUUUGCUGAAUAAACAAAUUUGAGGAAAUUAAACA